This 623-nucleotide transfer RNA is filed under the name uncultured bacterium. RNAcentral's name for it is "partial contains 16S-23S ribosomal RNA intergenic spacer and 23S ribosomal RNA". The stretch from base 118 to 190 matches the Rfam family "tRNA". The record is from RNAcentral.
GGGGUUUUGAGAUCUGAGCAGGCAGAUUCGAUGGCAGCAACGUAAUGUACAUUAAGUACAUGAGGCGCNGACAGAUGAAUCUAACGAACUUAGAACGCAAAAGAACUAACACAAUUUGGGGGUGUAGCUCAGCUGGGAGAGCGCCUGCCUUGCACGCAGGAGGUCAUCGGUUCGAUCCCGUUCACCUCCACCCAAUAUAUGUGUGAUCUGUGAAGAGUGUGAGUAUGGAUAAGAUAUUUGAACGUAGGAUGAUCGGAAGAUUGGACUGCGUUAGAUGGAUGACAGAGUAAAGACGAAUACAAUAAACAAUCUAGUUUAACAUUAUAGUGUUAAGUUAGGCUGACGAAAGUUAGGCUAAUAAAACACAAACGCGAAACUAAAUUCAAUUUAACAGAAGCUCUUAAGAGUAAUUCUUGGGAGCGUCGAGUCAAACUUGUUUUAGGGAUGUUGAGUUAGAACUAGGCGAGUUCAAGAGAGGCGACGCAAUGUAUGAAUAAUACAUGAGGAGCCAAACGAAGAACUCAACGACGUAAAUAACUCAAGAGACCAAAACAAGGAUAUCAAGCGUCAAAAGGGCAUCUGGUGGAUGCCUAGGCACAAAGAGGCGAUGAAGGACGUGCUAA